GGGCAUGACUUAGUGGAAGAGCCUCUGCUUAGAAUGCAGAAGGUUCCAGGUUCAAUUUCUGGCAUGUUCA
This 70-nucleotide transfer RNA is filed under the name Sphaerodactylus townsendi. Its description in RNAcentral is "tRNA-Ser". It matches the Rfam family "tRNA". From Rfam's summary of the family: Transfer RNA (tRNA) molecules are approximately 80 nucleotides in length. The record is from RNAcentral. Lineage: Eukaryota; Metazoa; Chordata; Lepidosauria; Squamata; Sphaerodactylidae.